Molecule: long non-coding RNA, 333 nt
Filed under: Bos taurus (domestic cattle)
Lineage: Eukaryota; Metazoa; Chordata; Mammalia; Artiodactyla; Bovidae
Description: long non-coding RNA NONBTAT025760
Source: RNAcentral
UUGUAAACCAUAAAGAUGAGGAAGGAGUCCAUGGAAAUGUAAAAUGAAUACAGAAUAUUCUGUGUUCUGUUCAUAUUCCUUUUCUAGCAUUUAUUAAAUUGUCCAUAUCUAUGGCACAUUAGUGUCUCUGUCCUACUAACCUGAACUCACUGAGGCUAAGUCAUAAUCAUCCCCAUUUACAUACCUUGAGGUGAAAGUUUUGUUAAUGCAUGUUUUUCUGAAGAACUACGAAAACCAUAGAAACAUGUAUAUAGAAGCUGGUUUUAAAAAUCACUUUUCUCAUUAUCCUCUGAGAAAGUGUGGUACCAGAUAGGAGGUAAUUCUGGUUAAAAC